UUAUUCAUUGAUAAUAUCAGU
This 21-nucleotide non-coding RNA is filed under the name Caenorhabditis elegans. Lineage: Eukaryota; Metazoa; Nematoda; Chromadorea; Rhabditida; Rhabditidae. The record is from RNAcentral.